RNAcentral lists this ribosomal RNA (303 nucleotides) under uncultured bacterium. RNAcentral's name for it is "partial 16S ribosomal RNA". It matches the Rfam family "Bacterial small subunit ribosomal RNA", at positions 507 to 807 of the family's 1533-position model. The record is from RNAcentral.
AGCAGCCGCCGCGGGAACACGGAGGGAGCUAGCGUUGUUCGGAAUUACUGGGCGUAAAGCGCACGUAGGCGGUUAUUCAAGUCAGAGGUGAAAGCCCGGGGCUCAACCCCGGAACUGCCUUUGAAACUAGGUGACUAGAAUCUUGGAGAGGUCAGUGGAAUUCCGAGUGUAGAGGUGAAAUUCGUAGAUAUUCGGAAGAACACCAGUGGCGAAGGCGACUGACUGGACAAGUAUUGACGCUGAGGUGCGAAAGCGUGGGGAGCAAACAGGAUUAGAUACCCGCGUAGUCCCUGUCUCUUAUAC